CGGCCCGUAGCUCAACGGUUAGAGCAGGAAACUCAUAAUUUCUUGGUUCUCGGUUCGAAUCCGGGCGGGCCGA
This 73-nucleotide transfer RNA is filed under the name Planctomycetota bacterium. RNAcentral describes it as "tRNA-Ile". It matches the Rfam family "tRNA". From Rfam's summary of the family: Transfer RNA (tRNA) molecules are approximately 80 nucleotides in length. The record is from RNAcentral. Lineage: Bacteria; Pseudomonadati; Planctomycetota.